Molecule: ribosomal RNA, 429 nt
Filed under: Bacteroidota bacterium
Lineage: Bacteria; Pseudomonadati; Bacteroidota
Also listed under: 1 other name
Description: Bacteroidetes bacterium partial 16S ribosomal RNA
Rfam family: Bacterial small subunit ribosomal RNA
Source: RNAcentral
UAGGGAAUCUUCGGCAAUGGGGGGAACCCUGACCGAGCAACGCCGCGUGAGUGAAGAAGGUUUUCGGAUCGUAAAGCUCUGUUGUUAAGGAAGAACGAGUGUGAGAAUGGAAAGUUCAUGCUGUGACGGUACUUAACCAGAAAGGGACGGCUAACUACGUGCCAGCAGCCGCGGUAAUACGUAGGUCCCGAGCGUUGUCCGGAUUUAUUGGGCGUAAAGCGAGCGCAGGCGGUUAGAAAAGUCUGAAGUGAAAGGCAGUGGCUCAACCAUUGUAGGCUUUGGAAACUGUUUAACUUGAGUGCAGAAGGGGAGAGUGGAAUUCCAUGUGUAGCGGUGAAAUGCGUAGGUAUAUGGAGGAACACCGGUGGCGAAAGCGGCUCUCUGGUCUGUAACUGACGCUGAGGCUCGAAAGCGUGGGGAGCGAACAGG